This 394-nucleotide ribosomal RNA is filed under the name uncultured bacterium. RNAcentral describes it as "bacterial SSU rRNA". It matches the Rfam family "Bacterial small subunit ribosomal RNA", at positions 28 to 424 of the family's 1533-position model. The record is from RNAcentral.
GACGAACGCUGGCGGCGUGCUUAACACAUGCAAGUCGAGCGGUAAGGCCCUUUCGGGGGUACGACGAGCGGCGAACGGGUGAGUAACACGUGGGUGACCUGCCCUCAGCUCUGGGAUAAAGCCCGGGAAACUGGGUCUAAUACCGGAUAUGACUUCAUGACGCAUGUUGUGGAGUGGAAAGCCUUGUGCGGCUGAGGAUGGGCCCGCGGCCUAUCAGCUUGUUGGUGGGGUGAUGGCCUACCAAGGCGACGACGGGUAGCCGGCCUGAGAGGGCGACCGGCCACACUGGGACUGAGAUACGGCCCAGACUCCUACGGGAGGCAGCAGUGGGGAAUCUUGCGCAAUGGGCGAAAGCCUGACGCAGCGACGCCGCGUGGGGAUGACGGCCUCGGUC